AAAGAUUAUCUUCUGAACACAUACAUGCCAACAGUUUGAUGGAGUUUUUUUAACAGCCUGAGACAAACACGGAAGGAAGCAUCAGACAUUCCACUCGGUUUCUUGUGGUCCAACCUGCAACCAUAUCUUUUUUUUCACAUUCAGUUUCAAACCCGGAUAGGCUAUGACUCAUUCAUCAGCUCUUUUUAAAGGCAGAACUUCUCAAAAGCUCAGAGUGUAGAAAAUGCCUUUUAAGCAAACAGGUUGCUCCUUUUUCAGGUGGCUCAUUUUCUGGUUAGUUCUCUCCACAGUAGACGGGAAAGCUUCACGCCUCUUUCCCAGCGAAGAAGACAGAAAUGUCAGCAAAGAGCCUACCAACACAGAUGAUAAACGCAUGGACACUGCUGGGAUUCCUGUUGGAUGCAGCCCAAGAAAACUGAGGAAGAGAUCCAGUUCCUUUGGCGUUUCAUGGCUCAGAGACCUGAACAGCGAAGAACCCAACUGUCAGAUUGUUCCAGUAACAACUGAGACUCCUGUGAUCACCAAACCACCAACCACACCUAAACCCCCCAGGAAGGAAACCCACCGCAUAGCAGCAGCAGCACCAGAAUACAAGCGUUGGCUCUUGUAUUUUCUUCCUUACAGACAAUACUCUUACUACAAUGCUUUAUUGCCUAUUAACAGAGGUGCCAAUGGCUAUCACUUUUUCAGGCACAACAAAUUCCAAAGCGACGAGUCCUCUGAAGAAAAGAGAAAGAAAAGAGAUAUAUUUACAAUGCAGUAA
This 763-nucleotide long non-coding RNA is filed under the name Anolis carolinensis (green anole). RNAcentral describes it as "lncRNA (ENSACAG00000035624.1)". Lineage: Eukaryota; Metazoa; Chordata; Lepidosauria; Squamata; Anolidae. The record is from RNAcentral.